CAUCGAGGCACCAGAAGAAGGUCGCGGAACCAUGUGUGGGCCAUCAGAAGGAGAUCGUGGAACCACAGGUGGGGCAUCAGGAGAAGGUCGCAUAACCACACGUCGAACAUAUCGCGGAACCACAAGUGGCACAUCCAUCGAGGUACUAGAAGGUCGCCGAACCACACGUCGAACAUGUCGCGGAAUCACAAGUGGCACAUCCAUCGAGGCACCAGAAGAAGGUCGCGGAACCAUGUGUAGGCCAUCAGAAGGAGAUCGUGGAACCACAGGUAGGGCAUCAGGAGAAGGUCGCAUAACCACACGUCGAACAUAUCGCGGAACCACAAGUGGCACAUCCAUCGAGGUACUAGAAGGUCGCCGAACCACACGUCGAACAUGUUGCGGAAUCACAAGUGGCACAUCCAUCGAGGCACCAGAAGAAGGUCGCAGAACCCCAGGUGGGCCAUCAGAAGGAGGUCGCAAAACCACAAGUGGGACAU
Molecule: long non-coding RNA, 479 nt
Filed under: Elaeis guineensis (African oil palm)
Lineage: Eukaryota; Viridiplantae; Streptophyta; Magnoliopsida; Arecales; Arecaceae
Description: long non-coding RNA (EGUI_LNC011887)
Source: RNAcentral